RNAcentral lists this ribosomal RNA (301 nucleotides) under uncultured bacterium. RNAcentral's name for it is "bacterial SSU rRNA". It matches the Rfam family "Bacterial small subunit ribosomal RNA", at positions 62 to 354 of the family's 1533-position model. The record is from RNAcentral.
CCGGACCGGGUACGGGUAGGUAAACGUAAACCGUAACGUUAGGUAACCGGUAACCGUCCCGUACCUUAGUCGACGGGGGAAGGGUAAGUACAGGAAGAAAUUCCGUCUAAUACCGCAUAACACCUUUAGGAGACAUCUUCUUGGGGUCAAAGGAGGCGACUCCGGCAUAGGAUGGCCAUGCGUCGCAUUAGCUAGUCGGCGGGGUAACGGCCCACCGAGGCGACGAUGCGUAGGGGUUCUGAGAGGAAGGUCCCCCACACUGGUACUGAGACACGGACCAGACUCCUACGGAAGGCAGCAG